GAUGAAGAACGUAGCGAAAUGCAAUACGUAAUGUGAAUUGCAGAAUUCAGUGAAUCAUCGAAUCUUUGAACGCAUAUUGCGCUCUCUGGUAUUCCGGAGAGCAUGCUUGUUUGAGUAUCAGUAAACACCUCAACUCCCCUUUCUUUUUUUGAAAUGGGAGCUGGACUUGAGUGAUCCCAACGCUUUUCUCACCGAAAAGUGGCGGGUUACUUGAAAUGCAGGUGCAGCUGGACUUUUCUCUGAGCUAAAAGCAUAUCUAUUUAGUCUGCCUAAAAAACAGAUUAUUACCUUUGCUGCAGCUAACAUAAAGGAGAUUAGUUCUUGUGCUGACUGAUGCAGGAUUCACAGAGACAGCUUCGGCUGGCCUUUGUAAACUCGAUCUCAAAUCAAGUAAGACUACCCGCUGAACUUAAGCAUAUCAAUAAGCGGAGGA
RNAcentral lists this unclassified non-coding RNA (433 nucleotides) under soil metagenome. RNAcentral describes it as "partial contains 5.8S ribosomal RNA, internal transcribed spacer 2, and large subunit ribosomal RNA". The stretch from base 1 to 120 matches the Rfam family "5.8S ribosomal RNA", at positions 35 to 154 of the family's 154-position model. The record is from RNAcentral.